GGACGAUCCAAAAAACAUUUAAAUAAAUUGAAAAGCCAAAAUAAUCAUUGAUGAGAGAUUUAAUCAAAAGAAUUAAGGUGAGCGCUUCAGGCUCUUGAGAGCCUCUUGUUAAUAUAUACAAGAUAUUUGUAAACAUGGUAAAAACUCAUCAAAAAUACUAAACUAGAAAACAAGUCAUUUUUUAUUGUGUAUAUACAUAGUUAAAUACUGUCAAGUGACCAACUAUUAGUUAUUAUGAUAGUUUACUUUUUAUUCAGAACAGUCUUUGAUAUUGAUUACAGAAAUUUCUGAAUUUUAUUACAAAUGAAUCAUAUUGUUAUGCCUAAUGAAUUAUUUUUACAAUGUAGAGAAAGAAGGGGGCAUUAUAUUUUUCUGGUCUGUUCUUUUCAGGUAAAAGUUUUUGGUCCAGAUAGUUGACCAUGAAAGUGUCAUGAUUGUGGUCAUAUCAACUUGAAACUUAUAGAUUACAUAAGUUAUAUAUCUGGUAACUUUUAAAAAAGAAUGCUUAUUUCAGGUUAUGACCUCCAUUUCAAAGAUCACAAGCCAAGUAAUAAUAAUUCAAGGGAGGCAUGGUCUCCUUUGGGCCCAUAUUUUUGUUGUAAGGUUGCCUGAAUGUGCUAAAAUUUUAAAAAUUGUACUUUUAACAGAAAUCAAAAUUUUAUAAUUAUAAUAAUGUUAAAUUUUGUAUAAAUUGUUAUGCUUUGUCAAAUUGUAUUGAGUUUUUAUGUUGUACAGACAGAAUUUUAAUUUUCAUUUAUUGCACAAC
This 766-nucleotide long non-coding RNA is filed under the name Mytilus galloprovincialis (Mediterranean mussel). Lineage: Eukaryota; Metazoa; Mollusca; Bivalvia; Mytilida; Mytilidae. The record is from RNAcentral.